AGCUAUUUAGUUUAAACAUCUUCUUUGAAAGUAGAAAAUAGAAUAAUUUAAUAGCUU
This 57-nucleotide transfer RNA is filed under the name Argulus americanus. Its description in RNAcentral is "tRNA-Ser". The record is from RNAcentral. Lineage: Eukaryota; Metazoa; Arthropoda; Ichthyostraca; Arguloida; Argulidae.